GUGAAAUGAUGAUUCAGUUUAUCCAUUCGCUGAGUGUGCUGCGCUAGCCUUCUUCCAGGCCUCAGUUCCUGUUCUAGGAACUUGGGGCUGUGCAGCCUCCAGAUACACUGUAGUCUGCAAUGUUCUAUUGUGGAUUGCUUGUGUGCUGGUAGACUAGUGGUAAGAACGGCUGGUGUCAGCAGGGAUGGGUCCCUUUGGAUUCCAUCUUAACCAAGAUGAGUGGUGCAAAUCUGAUCAC
Jaculus jaculus (lesser Egyptian jerboa) is the source of this 238-nucleotide small nucleolar RNA. Ensembl annotates it as small nucleolar RNA, C/D box 17. Its record names the gene Snord17. NCBI's taxonomy places the organism in Eukaryota, Metazoa, Chordata, Mammalia, Rodentia, Dipodidae. The record is from Ensembl.